Molecule: long non-coding RNA, 1113 nt
Organism: Triticum aestivum (bread wheat)
Lineage: Eukaryota; Viridiplantae; Streptophyta; Magnoliopsida; Poales; Poaceae
Exons: 3
Source: RefSeq, a predicted model, not a curated record
GAAAAGUAGAAACAAUAUAUCCUCUCCGUUCCGGCACCGCCUGAGGUGAGAAGAGACGCUCAUGGCUAUAGCGAUGGCCACCGCGGAAGACGACUCAAUCGAUUUCUUGUCAGAUCCAGUUGACAGAUUUCCCUUGCCGGAUCUCGCCUGCGGAGACCCAUUUGUGACCGCCGGAAUCACCAAAACUCUCGUAUGUGCGACUGCUGAGUCCAGCGUAGGAGAUGCUGGAGAGGCGGCAGUCACCGUACAAUUAGAUUUGAACAGCGCUUGCGAUGGAGUGGCCCUGUCCGCACCAACCUCCCAGCAAUCUUCACACAAAGACGACUCUACAGCCCCUCGAUGGACACGAAGGCGCCCUUGGAGCCACAAAUCAGCAUGAGCAGCAGCUUCGGUUCUUUGCAAGUUCAGAUUAUUUCGCCAUCGACGUCGACCCAGAGCAUCAAGCUUUCCCCCAUGCAUCUUCUUUGAUUGAGAUACGUACUAAUCCUCUUUCCAUUGAUGAUCUCCCACUCGGCCACCUUGGACUGAAAUGGUUGCAGAUCUAAAAGAGUUGACUCUUACCUACAGGCUUCAGUUCACGGCAGGGCUGAUGGAUCCUCACUGGCAGACGAAGAUGUUGAAGAAGAACCUCAAGUCCAAUCCCGUCUUUCCGCUGUGGAAGAGGUGGCUACGUAUGAUCCAGAAGAUCAUACCUUCGACGACGGUGACAACAGCACUCAGACGGACAGCGCCUGCGAAUCAACGACCAAAGUAGCAUCAACGACGUCGGCAACGAGCCAAACCCAGCGAAGCGCGCUAGGCUUCAUGACUAAUGUUUUGGGCCGACUAUCAGAUCAGACAAGCUGGGAUUAUAUUCCAGUUUAGAGCUAAUAUCAGUUGGUUAAUGGGUUAGUGUGGAAUAAUAAAACGGAAAAGCUAAAAUCCUGCCGGCAGGAUUUUUGCAACAUAUCCGCACGAUUCGGUUGCCGUUCGAUCCGAUCGCGCAGCGUCGCUCCUCCCGUUUUGCCUCGCGUGCUGCGUUUUUUUCUUUUUCUGCUGCCGUUAUUUUCGCUGCCGUCCGAACGCAGGAUGUAGGAUUCGAACCCAGCACCUCUUGUGUUUAUGCACAGCAUC